GGUCCUGAGAAUUUUUGGAUGAUAUAAAUAAAAAAAAAUAACUUGCUUUCCUGAAUAAAACAUGUGAGGUCUGCUGAUUAUAAAACGAGGUCAGUUUUAUCACUUCUUGAGGUUUGGGGUAAUUAUAAAUAAGGUUUAGCAAUAUCUGUAAAGAACCUGAGUUCAAUGUUUAUAUCUGUUUUAAAUGAGGUAUACAUGUGAAGACACUUAAUGUGGACAAAAUCAAACCAUUUGUCAUAAAAACAAAAAUUCAGUUAUUUUUUCAAAACUGUC
This 273-nucleotide long non-coding RNA is filed under the name Mytilus galloprovincialis (Mediterranean mussel). The record is from RNAcentral. Lineage: Eukaryota; Metazoa; Mollusca; Bivalvia; Mytilida; Mytilidae.